This is a long non-coding RNA of Zingiber officinale, 898 nucleotides long. RefSeq lists it as uncharacterized. Lineage: Eukaryota; Viridiplantae; Streptophyta; Magnoliopsida; Zingiberales; Zingiberaceae. The record is from RefSeq and is a predicted model, not a curated record. The transcript has 5 exons.
CCCUAUCUCCCCACACAGCGUCGAGCUUGUUCUUCCUCUCCUCUCCCCGCCGCACACGAUUCCCCUCUUCCCGUGCCUCCUUCUCCAUCACCCCUCUCUCGGUCCCCCAUCAAGCCGAUUCGCAGAUCCCUUCUCCCGAUUCACUGUCGCCGGCGCACUCCUCUCUUUCAGAUCUGCCACCAUCGUCUCUGACCAAGAGCGAGGAGUCGCUGCCACCCUUUGUCAUUGCUUCGACGUCAUCGCUGAUGGGAAGAGGAGCUAUGAGGGCACUUCGUCGCAUCCAAUUCCACCUCUUUAAUCGAACCCUAGUCGUCUAUUCACAACCGGCCAAGCAUGCUAAAUAACUGCUAGAAGUCACCGAUCGAGUCCGAUCUGCGCUCGACAUCACCAUCGCCUUCUCGAGCCCUAGCUUCAAUUCAUUGUCGCAACCCUCUUCUUGGUUUGAUUUCGCGGUGGAUUGGCCUAGUGUCGAUGUCACAAUAUCCUUUGCCCCGACUCAUCAUCACAACAGCUGUUAGCCUUCAUCCGAGGGUGGUUACAUUUGGUCUCGGUAGCAAACAUAUCUUCGGUUGUGGAUCACCACCUGAUCUUCCGAGUUUAGGACUUUGAUGCGAGACAAGCAUCUCGACGUGGGAUUAUUUAUCACGAUCGUCAGAUAAAAGCGGGUAGUAGGUAGAUGAAACAAGGAUGCUUGGAGAGUCCUAGCUGCCAGUCCCACUACACUCUCGAGGGUGGAUUUCUUUUCGGACUUAUUUUUGUUUGGAUGAUAUAUUAAAUUUGCGUAUUUGCUUUCUAACUAGUUGAUGUGAAUUUGGUUAAGAUUGCAUCGGGUUUCGUUUAUUCUUUACUCAUAUUUUGUAUUUAGUGUUAUAUUAAUUCGAUUUUUCCUUGGAGUUUA